This 501-nucleotide ribosomal RNA is filed under the name uncultured bacterium. RNAcentral's name for it is "partial 16S ribosomal RNA". It matches the Rfam family "Bacterial small subunit ribosomal RNA", at positions 30 to 523 of the family's 1533-position model. The record is from RNAcentral.
AUUGAACGCUGGCGGCAGGCUUAACACAUGCAAGUCGAGCGGGGGAAGGUAGCUUGCUACUGGACCUAGCGGCGGACGGGUGAGUAAUGCUUAGGAAUCUGCCUAUUAGUGGGGGACAACAUCUCGAAAGGGAUGCUAAUACCGCAUACGUCCUACGGGGGAAAGCGGUGGAUCUUCGGACCUUGCGCUAAUAGAUGAGCCUAAGUCGGAUUAGCUAGUUGGUGGGGUAAAGGCCUACCAAGGCGACGAUCUGUAGCGGGUCUGAGAGGAUGAUCCGCCACACUGGGACUGAGACACGGACCAGACUCCUACGGGAGGCAGCAGUGGGGAAUAUUGGACAAUGGGGGGAACCCUGAUCCAGCCAUGCCGCGUGUGUGAAGAAGGCCUUAUGGUUGUAAAGCACUUUAAGCGAGGAGGAGGCUACUUUAGUUAAUACCUAGAGAUAGUGGACGUUACUCGCAGAAUAAGCACCGGCUAACUCUGUGCCAGCAGCCGCUGUAA